Molecule: ribosomal RNA, 312 nt
Filed under: uncultured bacterium
Lineage: Bacteria
Description: bacterial SSU rRNA
Rfam family: Bacterial small subunit ribosomal RNA
Source: RNAcentral
GACGAACGCUGGCGGCGCGCCUAACACAUGCAAGUCGAACGAGGUUGAGAGGAGCUUGCUUUUCUUGACUUAGUGGCGAACGGGUGAGUAACGCGUGAGAAACCUGCCUUUCAGAGGGGGACAACAGUUGGAAACGACUGCUAAUACCGCAUGACACAUUUGGGUGGCAUCACCUGAAUGUCAAAGAUUAUAUCGCUGAAAGAUGGCCUCGCGUCUGAUUAGCUAGUUGGUAGGGUAACGGCCUACCAAGGCGACGAUCAGUAGCCGGACUGAGAGGUUGAUCGGCCACAUUGGGACUGAGAUACGGCCCAG